Non-coding RNA from Megalopta genalis, 1864 nucleotides. NCBI's taxonomy places the organism in Eukaryota, Metazoa, Arthropoda, Insecta, Hymenoptera, Halictidae. The record is from RefSeq and is a predicted model, not a curated record.
CAUUGUUUCGAUCAAUGAUGCAGCUUUUUAGCCUUCGGCAUUCUACGUAUAAAAUACAUAGAUAUGUAUUUUUAUUACAGCAUGUUCAGCGUUCGUGAAGCUUUACGGAAACAGAAAUUAAUAUACCUUAUAGUUGAAAAUUAACAAUAUGUACAUACGUUGUAUCGUAUCAUCAUACCAACGAACGUUUCCACGACGUUGAACAAAUACAACUGUAAUAAUUACAAUUAUACGGUAAUAUCUAUGAAGGCAAUUUCUAAACAAUCACGUUUUCGCUAAGAUUUACAACAAUAUUUACAUAUGCAUAUAUCCAUGUGAUAUGAAACAGUCGAAUAAAUUUUGGACUAAGGCCAAAACUCAAGAUAGUCCUUGUAUAUUAAUUAUUGUUGCGAACAAAAUUGAUCAUCUCAUAACGAAUCGUGCGUAUUUUCUCCAUAAGUACUAAGGUAACGCGCAAACGAAGGUUCGGCAGAAUUUUAUGUCCCAAAGCAGGCAAGACGUGGCAACGUUGGAAAAGGUAACUGUGUAUAAACUUCACUAAUGUCCAGGAAGGACGCUUUCUUUUCUGUACAUUGUUUUCUUUUGUAAGGAAAAGAAUAAUUCUCGUCGAAGAUGUUAAACCUUUGCCAAAUAUAAUGAUCGAAUACAAAUAUAGCCUAUGAAAAAUAAGUUAUAAUAUAGAAAACCAUGCAUACGCGAAAUAUAUAUGUUACAUUAAAUUGUGCGCUGAUGACGAAUUUAAGAGCUACACUACGUAUCGAUCUCACGAAGAUAUUAAUAUCCGUUACAAACAGAUUUCAUUGAAAAGAUAUUUUCUUCCAUAUUUUAAGUAUAUAAUCUUUAUUUUUUAUGUUUAUUGCUUAAUAUACCUUAUAGUUAAAGAGUAACAAUAAUACCUACAUUAUAUCGUAUCAUUUACACCAACGAACGUUUCCACGACGUUGAAUAAAUAUAACUGUAAUAAUUACAAUUAUACGGUAAUAUCUAUGAAAGCAAUUUCUAAACAAUCAUGUUUUUACUUAGAUUAUAUUGUACGUAUAUAAUAUUUACAUAUGCAUAUGUCCAUGUGAUAUGAAACAGUCGAAUAAAUUUUGGACUAAGGCCAAAACUCAAGAUAGUCCUUGUAUAUUAAUUAUUGUUGCGAACAAAAUUGAUCAUCUCAUAACGAAUCGUGCGUAUUUUCUCCAUAAGUACUAAGGUAACGCGCAAACGAAGGUUCGGCAGAAUUUUAUGUCCCAAAGCAGGCAAGACGUGGCAACGUUGGAAAAGGUAACUGUGUAUAAACUUCACUAAUGUCCAGGAAGGACGCUUUCUUUUCUGUACAUUGUUUUCUUUUGUAAGGAAAAGAAUAAUUCUCGUCGAAGAUGUUAAACCUUUGCCAAAUAUAAUGAUCGAAUACAAAUAUAGCCUAUGAAAAAUAAGUUAUAAUAUAGAAAACCAUGCAUACGCGAAAUAUAUAUGUUACAUUAAAUUGUGCGCUGAUGACGAAUUUAAGAGCUACACUACGUAUCGAUCUCACGAAGAUAUUAAUAUCCGUUACAAACAGAUUUCAUUGAAAAGAUAUUUUCUUCCAUAUUUUAAGUAUAUAAUCUUUAUUUUUUAUGUUUAUUGCUUAAUAUACCUUAUAGUUAAAGAGUAACAAUAAUACCUACAUUAUAUCGUAUCAUUUACACCAACGAACGUUUCCACGACGUUGAAUAAAUAUAACUGUAAUAAUUACAAUUAUACGGUAAUAUCUAUGAAAGCAAUUUCUAAACAAUCAUGUUUUUACUUAGAUUAUAUUGUACGUAUAUAAUAUUUACAUAUGCAUAUGUCCAUGUGAUAUGAAACAGUCGAAUAAAUUUUGGACUAAGGCCAAAACUCA